RNAcentral lists this ribosomal RNA (468 nucleotides) under uncultured bacterium. RNAcentral describes it as "partial 16S ribosomal RNA". It matches the Rfam family "Bacterial small subunit ribosomal RNA", at positions 28 to 507 of the family's 1533-position model. The record is from RNAcentral.
GACGAACGCUGGCGGCGUGCUUAACACAUGCAAGUCGAACGGAAAGGCCCUGCUUUUGUGGGGUGCUCGAGUGGCGAACGGGUGAGUAACACGUGAGUAACCUGCCCUUGACUUUGGGAUAACUUCAGGAAACUGGGGCUAAUACCGGAUAGGAGCUCCUGCUGCAUGGUGGGGGUUGGAAAGUUUCGGCGGUUGGGGAUGGACUCGCGGCUUAUCAGCUUGUUGGUGGGGUAGUGGCUUACCAAGGCUUUGACGGGUAGCCGGCCUGAGAGGGUGACCGGCCACAUUGGGACUGAGAUACGGCGCAGACUCCUACGGGAGGCAGCAGUGGGGAAUAUUACACAAUGGGCCGAAGCCUGAUGCAGCAACGCCGCGUGCGGGAUGACGGCCUUCGGGUGGUAAACCGCUUUCGCCUGUGACGAAGCGUGAGUGACGGUAAUGGGUAAAGAAGCACCGGCUAACUACGUG